Arabidopsis thaliana (thale cress) is the source of this 119-nucleotide ribosomal RNA. Lineage: Eukaryota; Viridiplantae; Streptophyta; Magnoliopsida; Brassicales; Brassicaceae. The record is from Rfam.
UGAUGCGAUCAUACCAGCACUAAUGCACUUGAUCCUAUCAGAACACCGCAGUUAAAUGUGCUUGGGCGAGAGUAGUACUAGGAUGGAUGACCUCCAGAAAAGUCUUCGUGUUGCAUCCC